RNAcentral lists this long non-coding RNA (309 nucleotides) under Rhinopithecus bieti (black snub-nosed monkey). RNAcentral describes it as "lncRNA (ENSRBIG00000046674.1)". The record is from RNAcentral. Lineage: Eukaryota; Metazoa; Chordata; Mammalia; Primates; Cercopithecidae.
UUCACACUGGUUCUUCCACUUCAGCUGGAGGUUAGGAUGAGUGCUCUCAAGGGUCUCCUCAAACUGGGAGAUCAUCUGGUUUUAUUCACGUGAAACUUUUCAUUUUGCAGUUUAUCAUCGUAGACACACAGAGGAAGCAAAUCUCGAUUCACUCCUAUGGAGUGAGCAUCACUUUUAUCUUCAUUUUACAGCUGGGGAGUCAGAGACAGAUUUGUCUGAUCCCAUACUUUCAGGAAGGUAAGGAGCCAGGAUUUGGAAAGCGGCAGCUAUGGUGUUGCCAGUCCAUUUUCCUAAGUACUAUGUUCCUUA